Molecule: long non-coding RNA, 417 nt
Filed under: Sorghum bicolor (sorghum)
Lineage: Eukaryota; Viridiplantae; Streptophyta; Magnoliopsida; Poales; Poaceae
Description: long non-coding RNA (SBIC_LNC005418)
Source: RNAcentral
CCAUGCACUACAGUAGCAAUUCUAAUGGCACGAAGCUGAGCACCGGAGACAUAACCUCACUCCUCUGGCUAUAAAAAGCCAGCCUCGGGUGCUCACUCUCACCAUCCGAGAAACACGUUCACUCACUCGCUCACUUACUCUCACUUCGCGUAUACCGUAUACAGCCAUACGCACAAGCUGAGCUCGACUGUCGUCGCAAGACGAGGUGAGCAGCUCAUGAGCAUCUCCUUGCUCUUCUCUGUCUUUCUGUAGUAUUUUUCUGUAUUUUUUUUUGUAUUUGUCUGUACCGAUUCAUUGCCAAGAACUCUACGAAUAGAACCAUGACAUACAGAAGAACUCUAAUGACCCCUGCUAAUUUCUCUCUAACCAUGCAUGUGUGGGCCAUAAGCAUUAACUCCAAAUAGUACAUGCAUGCAU